Molecule: ribosomal RNA, 197 nt
Filed under: uncultured bacterium
Lineage: Bacteria
Description: partial 16S ribosomal RNA
Rfam family: Bacterial small subunit ribosomal RNA
Source: RNAcentral
GGCUGAAAUUCGCCUUCAUGAAGCCGGAAUUGCUAGUAAUGGCAGGUCAGCAUACUGCCGUGAAUACGUUCCCGGGCCCUUGUACACACCGCCCGUCACACCAUGAGAGUUGGGAAUACCCGAAGCCUGUGAGCUAACGAAAGAGGCAGCAGUCGAAGGUAGAAUCAAUGAUUGGGGUGAAGUCGUAACAAGGUAUC